GAUGAACGCUGGCGGCGUGCCUAAUACAUGCAAGUCGAGCGAACGGACGAGAAGCUUGCUUCUCUGAUGUUAGCGGCGGACGGGUGAGUAGCACGUGGAUAACCUACCUAUAAGACUGGGAUAACUUCGGGAAACCGGAGCUAAUACCGGAUGAUAUUUUGAACCGCAUGGUUCAAAAGUGAAAGACGGUCUUGCUGUCACUUGUAGAUGGAUCCGCGCUGCAUUAGCUAGUUGGUAAGGUAACGGCUUACCAAGGCAACGAUGCAUAGCCGACCUGAGAGGGGGAUCGGCCACACUGGAACUGAGACACGGUCCAGACUCCUACGGGAGGCAGCAGUAGGGAAUCUUCCGCAAUGGGCGAAAGCCUGACGGAGCAACGCCGCGUGAGUGAUGAAGGUCUUCGGAUCGUAAAACUCUGUUAUUAGGGAAGAACAUAUGUGUAAGUAACUGUGCACAUCUUGACGGUACCAAAUCAGAAAGCCACGGCUAACUACGUG
This 497-nucleotide ribosomal RNA is filed under the name uncultured bacterium. RNAcentral's name for it is "partial 16S ribosomal RNA". It matches the Rfam family "Bacterial small subunit ribosomal RNA", at positions 28 to 507 of the family's 1533-position model. The record is from RNAcentral.